UUCAAUUUCUUCUCUCUCUCAGUCCUUUCUCUCAUUCUCUCUCUUCCUUUCUCACUUUCUCUCUCACGUUUCUUCUCUUCCCUUUCCUUUUUCUUUCUUUCUUCUUUACAAACCGGAUGGUACUCUAUGAUACUCUUGGAGCGUUUCUGGUAUGUCCACGGAAACUUACGGAGCUUCGAAACUACUGAAGAUGUUGUAGUUAUUGUAUGUCACUCUUCAUGUUAGGGUUUGUGGUGAAUUUUGUGCAGGGAGGAUUUGGAGUAUAUAAAGGGUUUUGGUUUUGUGGCUAGGGUUCAAUAACGGGAAAAUUACGGUUUUAAUUUUAUAGACUUAUCAUCGGUGUUCGGUCGAAGAGGUUGCCGGUUUGAACGUUGUUGCUGUUUUAUUGUUAUAGUGUCCACAAAAUCAAUGUUUUGUCGUUGUUGGUCGUAAACAAGCAUCUUUGAAAUUGCCUUUAAUGGUGGGAACAUAUUCGGUGUCGGCUUUGCUUCGUCAAGUGCAGGUUGGGAAUUUUCAUAAGCUUGCUAUCUUGACUGAUUUUUUUUCUGAUUUGCUCUCUCUUCACAUUUCUCAUUCUUUCUUUCUUUGAAGUUGUCUCUUCCUCUUCUUUCUUCAUGUUCUUCUGCUCUUUUGAUUCGAUUUCAAGCGAAGAAGAUGGAAAUUUAUUUAUGGUUUGUGGUAUUGUUUCACACGAAGAGUUUAUGGCGGCAGAUCUGAAGUUUUCGGCGAUUUCACAGCGCUCGAUUUUGCGGUGGUAGCUUUGUCCCCCGAUCCUAUCAUCUCACUCAACUUAUUUGUGGAUCUACACUUUGAUAUGAUGCGUUGUUGGUUAGUUUAUGGUUUCAAAUCGUUUUCUGUUCUAAAAUUUCAGGUUUUUUCCAAUUUGUUUUUAGGGUUUUUGUUACAAGCUUUUAGAACUGACUGGUUGAUAAAGAAGUAAUUUUUAAGAAAAAUGUGAUUACCUUUAGAUGAUGCUUUGGAAUGUCAUGUUUUGAUUUUAGGGUUUUUGUUACAAACUUUAGCAUCUUCUUUGUUUAACAAAAGUUGGUUACAUAAUGAUGCAUAAGAUUUGUAUUUAUGCAGGUUGGCAUUUUUGGCAGAGGUUGGUUAUUUACCAUGGUUGAUGUUCUGAAUGUGAAUGUGGUUCAUCAUGUAGUUGGAUAUGUAUAAAAUUGGUUUACUUUAAUUUCUACUUUGUUUAGAUUCAACUUUUGCUUUAUUUUACCAUGGAUAUCAAUGUUUGGCUUGAUGUUUGAAUACUCAAGGAUAGCUUGGAGAAUGAAGGAUGCAGGGCAUGGUUCAGUUUAGAACUGGACUUGAAUUGACUUAGUGUAGGUAUGAAUAUGGUGAACUGGACUGGUUUUAAUGUGAGCAUUUUUCUGUUAUGUAGCAGGUCUUGAAUGGCAUACAUAUGGUGCGAUGACGGUUUUAAAUGCGCUUUGGUUUGGAUGUAUGGUAAGGUGUAUGGACUGAUAUGAUGGUAAGGUGUAUGGACUGUUUUUACCCUUUAAAGGUAUUUGACAAGUUCUUGAAUGUUUCAGAUUAUGAAUUUCUUACCUAAAGGGGCUCGCUCUCUUCUUGCGCAGCCAAUAUUACAAGUUUCUAUGGAGAGUGCUACCGAUUCGCAAACACCGGCGGGAUUUAUUCGGCUGGUCUCGACCACGAGAUAUGCAUUUAACGUCAAAGGCAGAGCCUGGAUUGCAGCUGUGGCCAACAAGCUUAGAGAAACGGGUUAUCACAGUGAGAAAGAAUGGUACUUUUCUCUCAGGGGGAUCGAAAAUACUCGAACAGUUCCCGGCCUAACCGGGUUGCCGGAAGUGGUUACUGGAAGGCUACCGGAGCUGAUAAACCAACUGGGAAAGUGAAACCAAUGGGGAUACAAAAAGCACUGGUUUUCUAUGCCGGUAAAGCCCCCAAAGGAGUGAAAACUAAUUGGAUUAUGCAUGAAUAUCGUCUUGCCAACGUUGAUAGGCCCGCCAGCAAGAAAAAUAAUUUAAGGCUUGAUGAUUAGGUAUUAUGUAGAAUUUACAAAACAAGAAAGGAAAGAUUGAGAAAUUCAACACGAGUCUGGUUUUCUCGCUGUAUGUGACUAGGCUUUCUCACAAAUUUCUGACCAAUUUCCGUUAAUGCCAUUGUAGGGAACUCUUGUCCAUCAAGAAAAUGCUGAACUCCAUAAAAAAAUGGACUUCAUUCAGAAAGAAAAUGCAGAGCUACAGAAGAAGGUUUAUGAAGCAAGGAGUACAAAUGAAGAAAAUGUGGCAUCGAAUCUUUCAUGCACUAUCAAUGGAUAUGAUUUACAUGCGCCGAUCAAUCUUUAGCUAAGGCAACCACAGGCUCAAUACAGUGAACCCGCAACCAUGAAAUUAUGAUUACAGCUGCAUUCCUAACAAGCUGUCAUGAACCAGUUCAAAUAUAUAGCAGCCUAGCAGGUGGUUUUAGAAUUUUGUUCUCUAGCAGCUGAGAUAUUAUUGUAUGAAAUCUAUAGAUUAAUUAUAGAAUCAACAAAUGCAUCUAAUAUUUGUAUCAAUUCCUCUUUCUAAUUUAAAUUCUCAAACUUUCCUGAUAUGUUAUACUACUGAUCAUUUUCAGUUGUGAUCAGUUGAAAUUACACUUUAAACACUAAAACUCAGUGUAGACCUCUAUACCAUACCAAUAUACUAUUCAC
Vicia villosa (hairy vetch) is the source of this 2665-nucleotide long non-coding RNA. RefSeq lists it as uncharacterized. The transcript is spliced from 7 exons. Lineage: Eukaryota; Viridiplantae; Streptophyta; Magnoliopsida; Fabales; Fabaceae. The record is from RefSeq and is a predicted model, not a curated record.